UAAAAAAGUGUUAUGUAGAUAAAUAACCAAUAAUUUGAUAUUCUACAGGUUGGGAAGUUAUUUUUCAAGACCCCGAGGAAGUGUGAGGUGUAUGGAAUCAGCUGUGAAGGAUCUGGUAUUUGAAUUAAUUUAAUAUCAUUGCUAUCCACAAACUGAAUCAGUCUAAAUGUUAUCAACUACCAAUUGAUUAUUUACUUUUUAUUGUUGUGUGUGUGUGUGCGUUUGUGGUCUGGAGGUUAUCAUUCUCGUCUAAUAUCAAUCUUUUAUGAUAAGACAAUAACCAUGCAUUAUCUAAAUGUUUCAAACCACCUAUUAAUUAAUUGGAAAAAAACAAACUAUUUGGGUAUCUCAAGUAAGUUAUUACAGUUUAUUUAUUGGUCUUCUGUUUCACAGGAAAGCAGGUGAUUUACCUCGCAGACGAAGGCCAGUCACAUGGUAAAGAUGCAAAUGCUGUGGUCAGCAAGGUUCACCACUACCUCAACAUAUACGGUCUUGGCGAACAGCAUGCUCACUUUCAGUGUGAUAACUGUUGCGGCCAAAUUAAAAACAACAUAGUCAUCUGGUACCUUCUGUGAAGAGUUCUUGUAGGUUUACACAGAAUCAUCACACUAAGCUUUAUGUUGAUAAGACAUACAAAGUUAACACCAGAUUGGCACUUUGGCAUCUGGAAGUCAAAGUGGAGAAACUUCAAUGCAGAAAUGUUGUCUGAUGUCGCUGCGUCUGUGGGGUUAUCGUCAAGGCAAGCCACAACAUCCCCCAGCUUGUGGGGGACUCUUCCAAUCCUGUUGUUAUCUAAGACAGGAAGGAUUACCUUACGACAUUGUUUCACCACAUAAAGAAUGUCACCAAAUUUCAUCAAUUUCCAUGUGUCAGCGGAGCAUCCCGGUGUUGUGGAAUGCAGGGAAUUUAGUGACUCACCAGUAGUCAGAAUCACUCUCAGGAAGGUCUCGAAAGUGAAUGUUAAUGUGAGCUGUGACAACCUGCCAUAAGAAAUGUUUGCGAAAGGGCUUGAUCUGGACCAUCAGUGGUAUUUAUUUGAAAACAUUCGUGAAUUCUGUCGCAUAGAUGAAUAAAAAACUUGACAUGUCCGAAACGCGCUACUGGUGAGCAACAAAAAACAGACUGUGCCCCCCAAAAAAGAAGAUGCAUUAAGAUGCGCAUCUGAUCUUCUCUCAUAGUGCCACAACAAUUACGUACAUCAUGUAUCAGUGUUUAUUUUGGCCAAGGUAUUGGGUGAUAUAUUUUCCCCCAAACAAUGCAAAAAAUCCUCUAUUCCUAGGAAAGCUAAAACAUGUAUACGAUUGCUAAAUGUGUCAGUUGAUACAGGUUUUGAAAUGUUCAAUGCAAACGUUUGUUGUUCUAAUUGCACAAGCUUGUUUUCAAGUUUUUUAUAUCUCAUAUUUACAAAACAAAAAUCAUUUUUUCCAUGUAACCAUGCAAUUGUUUUCUCCUUAUGGACACAGACUGCCUUUCCGAAAAACUGGAAAAAAAAUCAGUGUGAAUAUUGUAUUUAUUUAUGUUUUACAAUGAAAAUCCUAUAUUUUUGCUUGUUUGCUACAUUGUUUCCAUAGUAACAAAAACAAACAAUUUUUAUGUUUAAGUUAUUGUUUAUUUUGUCUAUUUUUCUCUAUCAGAAAUAAUGAUAAAUAAUGAUUAUUUCAUUUACUGAAACAUUUAGUAUCCAAGUGUACUUUCAACCAACACUUUUCAAUGCUGUGUUUUUCCAUUCUGUUGUGUUUGAGGUUACAUUAUACUUAAAUACACAUGUAACUGAAUAAAAAAGGAAAUUGUUCAUGGAACACACAAAUUAUUGAUUGUUAUUGUUUAACUAGUUACAAAACAGUGAAAUUAAUGUUGUGUUUGCCUUUAAACAAACACUUGAUUGAAAAUACAAUUCAUAGAUUUAUAAAAGGCGUGAUUGUGUGCUCUGGUGAUUAUUAACAUGUAGAUCGGUUACCAUAGCAACACAAAUGGUACAUUUUAAAUGUCCAUAAUGCUGUUGUCAGUUUAUUGCACUAUAAUUAUGUGUUUGACUAAAGGAAAGAUUAUUGUUUUAAUAAAACAAUGUGCUUGUUGUUUGAA
Molecule: long non-coding RNA, 2082 nt
Organism: Dreissena polymorpha
Lineage: Eukaryota; Metazoa; Mollusca; Bivalvia; Myida; Dreissenidae
Exons: 3
Source: RefSeq, a predicted model, not a curated record